RNAcentral lists this long non-coding RNA (399 nucleotides) under Mustela putorius furo (domestic ferret). RNAcentral's name for it is "lncRNA (ENSMPUG00000032048.1)". Lineage: Eukaryota; Metazoa; Chordata; Mammalia; Carnivora; Mustelidae. The record is from RNAcentral.
UGAAGAAAACUACCACCACCAUCAAACAACUAAUUUUUUCCUGCAGGUACCACAGGGCUCCUGGAACUGUCCAUGGUGCUGAAUGUCUUUUUCCUUCUUGCCACGGUCUGCCUCAGAAUGGCUACUUCCAAAAGGCAACUUGUGUGUUGUUCACUGGAAUUCCUCAGGCUCCUUGGACCUCCACCAGGUGAAUCCUGUGACUUAAGCAGCCUGAGACCUUGGCAGCUCAUUUUCUUCCUCUCCCGAUCUGCAUUUCCCAUAAGAUGGCAUGGCCCAAGAGAAAAACCCUGGUAUGUCUCUCCAGUCCACCUCCUAAACAUUUCUUCAUCUAUACCUUGCCUCCAUCCCCAGAAUAUCAUCUUAGACCAUCACUGGUUCUCUUUUUCUGAAUUUGCUUAG